RNAcentral lists this ribosomal RNA (253 nucleotides) under uncultured bacterium. RNAcentral's name for it is "partial 16S ribosomal RNA". It matches the Rfam family "Bacterial small subunit ribosomal RNA", at positions 524 to 776 of the family's 1533-position model. The record is from RNAcentral.
UACAGAGGGUGCAAGCGUUGUUCGGAAUUACUGGGCGUAAAGGGCUCGUAGGCGGCCAACUAAGUCGGACGUGAAAUCCCCAGGCUCAACCUGGGAACUGCGUCCGAUACUGGAUGGCUUGAAUUCGGGAGAGGGAUGCAGAAUUCCAGGUGUAGCGGUGAAAUGCGUAGAUAUCUGGAGGAAUACCGGUGGCGAAGGCGGCAUCCUGGACCGACAUUGACGCUGAGGAGCGAAAGCUAGGGGAGCAAACGGG